Non-coding RNA from Vicugna pacos (alpaca), 666 nucleotides. The record is from the annotation of a RefSeq genome assembly. Lineage: Eukaryota; Metazoa; Chordata; Mammalia; Artiodactyla; Camelidae.
AGACUCUACCCCCUCCAGAGUAGGGGCAAAGGCACCCAGGAACUGGGCAGGAAGCCAUGAAGAGACACUGGGGAUCCCUGCUGGGGCUUCUGUGGGUCCAGGUUUGCUGUGAGUCAGGGUCACCCCGCAGGGGAACUGGGGAAUGUUCUACGGCUGACAAGGGGAGCAGGGAGGAGAGCUGACUCUGAGCUACAUCCUCAUGGGUGUUUCCUGGGGUGUUUUCUGGAUCUGGAGCCUGCAUCAAUGACUCUGUGACAUUGUAUGUAUUUGUUUUUCUCUUUCAAAGCAGGGGUGAGAGGGAUGAAUGUGGAGCAGAGUCCUUCAGCUCUGAGCAUCCAGGAGGGAACGAGCUCUACUCUGCGGUGCAAUUUUUCUAACCCAGUAAAUUAUGUGCAGUGGUUCCGACAGAAUCCUGGGGGUGGCCUCAUCCGACUGUUUUAUAUAACCAUUCUUUCAAAUAAGGUCAAAGAGGAAAACCAAGGACUCACUGUUUUAUUGAAUAAGACAGCCAAACAUCUGUCCCUGCACAUCACAGCCACCCAGCCUGGAGACGCAGCUGUCUACUUCUGUGCAGCAAGUACACAUUGCUUCCCAGGCACCUGCUACCUGUAUUCAAACCUGCUACUCGGGCAGCCUCCUUCCUUUGGCGCGGACCUUCAAGCGUAG